AUAAAAGGGUAAUAAUUACCAACCAAAGUGUUUGGGUGGACUCAUAAUCCCUUGGUCCCAGGUUCGAGUCCUGGUGGGCCCA
This 82-nucleotide transfer RNA is filed under the name Verrucomicrobiales bacterium. RNAcentral's name for it is "tRNA-Ile". The record is from RNAcentral. Lineage: Bacteria; Pseudomonadati; Verrucomicrobiota; Verrucomicrobiia; Verrucomicrobiales.